Molecule: non-coding RNA, 89 nt
Filed under: uncultured Paenibacillus sp.
Lineage: Bacteria; Bacillati; Bacillota; Bacilli; Caryophanales; Paenibacillaceae
Description: Purine riboswitch
Rfam family: Purine riboswitch aptamer (bases 13-89)
About the family: Riboswitches are metabolite binding domains within certain messenger RNAs that serve as precision sensors for their corresponding targets. Allosteric rearrangement of mRNA structure is mediated by ligand binding, and this results in modulation of gene expression.
Source: RNAcentral
UAAACACAUGCUUUUUCGUAUAAUUUCGGGAAUUGGCCUGAAAGUUUCUACGAGAUCACCAUAAUGAUCUGGCUACGAAAAAAGAUAAU